RNAcentral lists this unclassified non-coding RNA (111 nucleotides) under Kaistella antarctica. Its description in RNAcentral is "Chryseobacterium antarcticum Flavo-1 RNA". Lineage: Bacteria; Pseudomonadati; Bacteroidota; Flavobacteriia; Flavobacteriales; Weeksellaceae. The record is from RNAcentral.
ACCUAGCUCUUCCCCUGCGUAAGGGAUCGCAAUGGAAAGCCCGGAAGGAGGCGCGAUCCGCCUCGGCGGAUCGCGGCGACUGAGGACUUGUAAUGAAGAGCCCGACCCGAU